AAAACGGGCUUCUGUCGUGAGUGGCACACAUGGGGCAACUCACUGCUCUUCCUGUGGAAUCAACAUCAGGAAAUUGCAGAAGCAUCAUUGUUUGGUAUGUGGGCAGCUGGUGAUCAUUGGUCCCAGCACCCAU
Molecule: small nuclear RNA, 133 nt
Organism: Otolemur garnettii (small-eared galago)
Lineage: Eukaryota; Metazoa; Chordata; Mammalia; Primates; Galagidae
Source: Ensembl